This 25-nucleotide transfer RNA is filed under the name Guadua calderoniana. Its description in RNAcentral is "partial tRNA-Leu". The record is from RNAcentral. Lineage: Eukaryota; Viridiplantae; Streptophyta; Magnoliopsida; Poales; Poaceae. RNAcentral also lists the same sequence under 1 other name.
GCCGCCAUGGUGAAAUUGGUAGACA